AACGAACGCUGGCGGCAUGCCUAACACAUGCAAGUCGAACGAGAUCUUCGGAUCUAGUGGCGCACGGGUGCGUAACGCGUGGGAAUCUGCCCUUUGCUUCGGAAUAACAGUUAGAAAUGACUGCUAAUACCGGAUGAUGUCUUCGGACCAAAGAUUUAUCGGCAAAGGAUGAGCCCGCGUAGGAUUAGGUAGUUGGUGGGGUAAAGGCCUACCAAGCCGACGAUCCUUAGCUGGUCUGAGAGGAUGAUCAGCCACACUGGGACUGAGACACGGCCCAGACUCCUACGGGAGGCAGCAGUGGGGAAUAUUGGGACAAUGGGCGCAAGCCUGAUCCAGCCAUGCCGCGUGAGUGAUGAAGGCCCUAGGGUUGUAAGCUCUUUCACCGGUGAAGAUAAUGACAGUACCGGGAGAAUAAGCUCCGACUAACUCCGUGCCAGCAGCCGCGGUAAUGUCAGUGACU
This 460-nucleotide ribosomal RNA is filed under the name uncultured bacterium. RNAcentral's name for it is "bacterial SSU rRNA". It matches the Rfam family "Bacterial small subunit ribosomal RNA", at positions 29 to 533 of the family's 1533-position model. The record is from RNAcentral.